GCAGAACAAGUGUGACCUUAUUGUCAAUCUUAAAACUUCAGCAAACCAAAAAGUUAGGAGUAUCAGUCUUCGUAGAGAAGGCUGGAUUAGCUCUUGGAGAGUUGCGAAAGGAAAAUAAUUCCUAAGAAGACUUUGGCCAGUAACUAAUCCACCUUCAAGUCAAGAACAUCUUUUACAUCCUCAACUUUUACAGAAGCCUCUCCGCCCAUUCCUUGCUCGAGGGUAUUUUGACGAUGUAGGAGUGUAAAAUGUGAUUCCAUUAAGGACGUCGUGUCCUUUUUGUAAUACGUUGUAGAUUAUGAAUAUAUAGUGGGAAUGUAGAGUUUUUGUAUUGCCUUUGGAUUGCUCCCCUAUUGUAUUUGUAUUGUCAUAGUAUUGCCAUUGUAGUGUCGUGGUAUUGACUGGUUAUUGCACUUAUAUUUCUUUCUUAUCACCUGUUUUUUCAAGUCUAUCUUGUGAAGGAACUUAUAAGGAUAUUUUGUAAAAGAAAACGCUUGAUUGUAUUAGUUUAUUUUGUAAAGGAAAAUGUUAGAUCAUUAUUCAUUAUCAUAUAAAUAAGGUAUAACAA
This is a non-coding RNA of Prunus mume (Japanese apricot), 568 nucleotides long. Lineage: Eukaryota; Viridiplantae; Streptophyta; Magnoliopsida; Rosales; Rosaceae. The record is from RefSeq and is a predicted model, not a curated record.